UACGAGGGGUCCUAGCGUUGUUCGGAAUCAUUGGGCGUAAAGAGUAUGUAGGCGGCUGGAUAAGUCAGGUGUGAAAGCCCCGGGCUCAACCCGGGAAGUGCAUUUGAUACUGUCUAGCUUGAGUACUGGAGAGGGUAGUGGAAUUCCAGGUGUAGUGGUGAAAUGCGUAGAUAUCGGGAGGAACACCAGUGGCGAAGGCGGCGAUCUGGGAAGAUACUGACGCUGAGGUGCGAAAGCGUGGGGAGCAAACAGG
Molecule: ribosomal RNA, 253 nt
Filed under: uncultured bacterium
Lineage: Bacteria
Description: partial 16S ribosomal RNA
Rfam family: Bacterial small subunit ribosomal RNA
Source: RNAcentral